Ananas comosus (pineapple) is the source of this 118-nucleotide ribosomal RNA. The record is from Rfam. Lineage: Eukaryota; Viridiplantae; Streptophyta; Magnoliopsida; Poales; Bromeliaceae.
GGAUGCGAUCAUACCAGCACUAAAGCACCGGAUCCCAUCAGAACUCCGCAGUUAAGCGUGCUUGGCGAGAGUAGUACUAGGAUGGGUGACCCCCUGGGAAGUCCUCGUGUUGCAUCCC